AUACGGGGGGUGCUAGCGUUAUUCGGAAUCAUUGGGCGUAAAGGGCGCGUAGGCGGUCUCUUAAGUCAGAUGUGAAAGCCCUCGGCUUAACCGAGGAAGUGCAUUUGAUACUAAGUGACUUGAGUAUGGGAGAGGGAAGCGGAAUUCCUGGUGUAGCGGUGAAAUGCGUAGAUAUCAGGAGGAACGCCGGUGGCGAAGGCGGCUUCCUGGACCAAUACUGACGCUGAGGCGCGAAGGCGUGGGGAGC
This 247-nucleotide ribosomal RNA is filed under the name uncultured bacterium. Its description in RNAcentral is "partial 16S ribosomal RNA". It matches the Rfam family "Bacterial small subunit ribosomal RNA", at positions 523 to 769 of the family's 1533-position model. The record is from RNAcentral.